Molecule: transfer RNA, 69 nt
Filed under: Amazona aestiva (blue-fronted amazon)
Lineage: Eukaryota; Metazoa; Chordata; Aves; Psittaciformes; Psittacidae
Description: tRNA-Asp
Source: RNAcentral
GGGGUGUUAGUAAACUAAUUACAUGGCCUUGUCAAAGCCAAACUAUAGGUGAGACCCCUAUACACCCCU